Molecule: ribosomal RNA, 1343 nt
Filed under: uncultured bacterium
Lineage: Bacteria
Description: 16S ribosomal RNA
Rfam family: Bacterial small subunit ribosomal RNA
Source: RNAcentral
GACGAACGCUGGCGGCGUGCUUAACACAUGCAAGUCGAACGGAAAGGCCCUGCUUUUGUGGGGUGCUCGAGUGGCGAACGGGUGAGUAACACGUGAGUAACCUGCCCUUGACUUUGGGAUAACUUCAGGAAACUGGGGCUAAUACCGGAUAGGAGCUCCUGCUGCAUGGUGGGGGUUGGAAAGUUUCGGCGGUUGGGGAUGGACUCGCGGCUUAUCAGCUUGUUGGUGGGGUAGUGGCUUACCAAGGCUUUGACGGGUAGCCGGCCUGAGAGGGUGACCGGCCACAUUGGGACUGAGAUACGGCCCAGACUCCUACGGGAGGCAGCAGUGGGGAAUAUUGCACAAUGGGCGGAAGCCUGAUGCAGCAACGCCGCGUGCGGGAUGACGGCCUUCGGGUUGUAAACCGCUUUCGCCCGUGACGAAGCGUGAGUGACGGUAAUGGGUAAAGAAGCACCGGCUAACUACGUGCCAGCAGCCGCGGUGAUACGUAGGGUGCGAGCGUUGUCCGGAUUUAUUGGGCGUAAAGGGCUCGUAGGUGGUUGAUCGCGUCGGAAGUGUAAUCUUGGGGCUUAACCCUGAGCGUGCUUUCGAUACGGGUUGACUUGAGGAAGGUAGGGGAGAAUGGAAUUCCUGGUGGAGCGGUGGAAUGCGCAGAUAUCAGGAGGAACACCAGUGGCGAAGGCGGUUCUCUGGGCCUUUCCUGACGCUGAGGAGCGAAAGCGUGGGGAGCGAACAGGCUUAGAUACCCUGGUAGUCCACGCUGUAAACGGUGGGUACUAGGUGUGGGGUCCAUUCCACGGGUUCCGUGCCGUAGCUAACGCUUUAAGUACCCCGCCUGGGGAGUACGGCCGCAAGGCUAAAACUCAAAGGAAUUGACGGGGCCCCGCACAAGCGGCGGAGCAUGCGGAUUAAUUCGAUGCAACGCGUAGAACCUUACCUGGGUUUGACAUGGAUCGGGAGUGCUCAGAGAUGGGUGUGCCUCUUUUGGGGUCGGUUCACAGGUGGUGCAUGGCUGUCGUCAGCUCGUGUCGUGAGAUGUUGGGUUAAGUCCCGCAACGAGCGCAACCCUUGUUCACUGUUGCCAGCACGUUAUGGUGGGGACUCAGUGGAGACCGCCGGGGUCAACUCGGAGGAAGGUGGGGAUGACGUCAAGUCAUCAUGCCCCUUAUGUCCAGGGCUUCACGCAUGCUACAAUGGCUGGUACAGAGAGUGGCGAGCCUGUGAGGGUGAGCGAAUCUCGGAAAGCCGGUCUCAGUUCGGAUUGGGGUCUGCAACUCGACCUCAUGAAGUCGGAGUCGCUAGUAAUCGCAGAUCAGCAACGCUGCGGUGAAUACGUUCCCGGG